AGCGAACGCUGGCGGCAGGCUUAACACAUGCAAGUCGAACGCCCCGCAAGGGGAGUGGCAGACGGGUGAGUAACACGUGGGAACGUACCCUUUGGUUCGGAAUAACUUGGGGAAACUCAAGCUAAUACCGGAUAAGCCCUUAUGGGGAAAGGUUUACUGCCGAAGGAUCGGCCCGCGUCUGAUUAGCUAGUUGGUGAGGUAAUGGCUCACCAAGGCGACGAUCAGUAGCUGGUCUGAGAGGAUGAUCAGCCACACUGGGACUGAGACACGGCCCAGACUCCUACGGGAGGCAGCAGUGGGGAAUAUUGGACAAUGGGGGCAACCCUGAUCCAGCCAUGCCGCGUGAGUGAUGAAGGCCUUAGGGUUGUAAUGCUCUUUUACCCGGGACGAUAAUGACUGUACCGGGAGAAUAAGCCCCGGCUAACCUCGUGCCAGCAGCCGCAGUAA
Molecule: ribosomal RNA, 447 nt
Filed under: uncultured bacterium
Lineage: Bacteria
Description: partial 16S ribosomal RNA
Rfam family: Bacterial small subunit ribosomal RNA
Source: RNAcentral